Molecule: ribosomal RNA, 457 nt
Filed under: uncultured bacterium
Lineage: Bacteria
Description: partial 16S ribosomal RNA
Rfam family: Bacterial small subunit ribosomal RNA
Source: RNAcentral
CCUACGGUGGCAGCAGUGGGGAAUAUUGCACAAUGGGGGAAACCCUGAUGCAGCGACGCCGCGUGAGUGAAGAAGUAUUUCGGUAUGUAAAGCUCUAUCAGCAGGGAAGAAAUAGCGACCUUUGGGUCGCCAGACGGUACCUGAUUAAGAAGCCCCGGCUAACUACGUGCCAGCAGCCGCGGUAAUACGUAGGGGGCAAGCGUUAUCCGGAUUGACUGGGGGUAAAGGGAGCGUAGACGGCAGCGCAAGUCUGAAGGGAAAUGGCGGGGCUUAACCCCGGAACUGCUUGGGAAACUGUGCAGCUAGAGUGAAGGAGAGGUAAGUGGAAUUCCUAGUGUAGCGGUGAAAUGCGUAGAUAUUAGGAGGAACACCAGUGGCGAAGGCGGCUUACUGGACUGUAACUGACGUUGAGGCUCGAAAGCGUGGGGAGUAAACAGGAUUAGAUACCCUUGUAGUC